Molecule: ribosomal RNA, 497 nt
Filed under: uncultured bacterium
Lineage: Bacteria
Description: partial 16S ribosomal RNA
Rfam family: Bacterial small subunit ribosomal RNA
Source: RNAcentral
GAUGAACGCUGGCGGCGUGCCUAACACAUGCAAGUCGAGCGAACACACGAGGAGCUUGCUCCCCUGACGGUAGCGGCGGACGGGCGAGUAACACGUGGAUAACCUACCUAUUAGACUGGGAUAAUAUCGGGGAACAGGUGCUACUAACGGAUAAUAUAUCGAACCGCAUGGUUCAAGAGUUAAAGACGCUUUUCGUGUCAGUUAUAGCCGAAUCCGGGCCGCAUUAGCUAGUUGGUAAGGUAACGGCAUACCAAGGCUACGAUGCGUAGCCGAUCUGAGAGGGUGAUCGGCCACACUGGAACUGAGACACGGUCCAGACUCCUACGGGAGGCAGCAGUAGGGAAUCUUCCGCAAUGGGCGAAAGCCUGACGUAGCAACACCGCGUGAGUGAUGAAGGUCUUCGGAUCGUAAAGCUCUGUUGUUAGGAAAGAACAAAAGCGUAUGUACCUAUGCACGUCUUGACGGUACCUAAACAAUAAGCAACGGCUAACUACGUG